This 1352-nucleotide ribosomal RNA is filed under the name uncultured bacterium. Its description in RNAcentral is "bacterial SSU rRNA". It matches the Rfam family "Bacterial small subunit ribosomal RNA", at positions 28 to 1381 of the family's 1533-position model. The record is from RNAcentral.
AUUGAACGCUGGCGGCAUGCCUUACACAUGCAAGUCGAACGGUAACGGGUCCUUCGGGAUGCCGACGAGUGGCGAACGGGUGAGUAAUAUAUCGGAACGUGCCCAGUAGUGGGGGACAACUGCUCGAAAGAGCAGCUAAUACCGCAUACGACCUGAGGGUGAAAGGGGGGGAUCGCAAGACCUCUCGCUAUUGGAGCGGCCGAUAUCAGAUUAGCUAGUUGGUGGGGUAAAGGCCUACCAAGGCAACGAUCUGUAGUUGGUCUGAGAGGACGACCAGCCACACUGGGACUGAGACACGGCCCAGACUCCUACGGGAGGCAGCAGUGGGGAAUUUUGGACAAUGGGCGCAAGCCUGAUCCAGCAAUGCCGCGUGCAGGAAGAAGGCCUUCGGGUUGUAAACUGCUUUUGUCAGGGAAGAAAUCUUCUGGGCUAAUACCCCGGGAGGAUGACGGUACCUGAAGAAUAAGCACCGGCUAACUACGUGCCAGCAGCCGCGGUAAUACGUAGGGUGCGAGCGUUAAUCGGAAUUACUGGGCGUAAAGCGUGCGCAGGCGGCUUUGCAAGACAGAUGUGAAAUCCCCGGGCUCAACCUGGGAACUGCAUUUGUGGCUGCAAGGCUAGAGUACGGCAGAGGGGGAUGGAAUUCCGCGUGUAGCAGUGAAAUGCGUAGAUAUGCGGAGGAACACCAAUGGCGAAGGCAAUCCCCUGGGCCUGUACUGACGCUCAUGCACGAAAGCGUAGGGAGCAAACAGGAUUAGAUACCCUGGUAGUCCACGCCCUAAACGAUGUCAACUGGUUGUUGGACGGCUUGCUGUUCAGUAACGAAGCUAACGCGUGAAGUUGACCGCCUGGGGAGUACGGCCGCAAGGUUGAAACUCAAAGGAAUUGACGGGGACCCGUACAAGCGGUGGAUGAUGUGGUUUAAUUCGAUGCAACGCGAAAAACCUUACCUACCCUUGACAUGUCAAGAAUUCUGCAGAGAUGUGGAAGUGCUCGAAAGAGAACUUGAACACAGGUGCUGCAUGGCCGUCGUCAGCUCGUGUCGUGAGAUGUUGGGUUAAGUCCCGCAACGAGCGCAACCCUUGUCAUUAGUUGCUACGCGAGAGCACUCUAAUGAGACUGCCGGUGACAAACCGGAGGAAGGUGGGGAUGACGUCAGGUCCUCAUAGCCCUUAUGGGUAGGGCUACACACGUCAUACAAUGGCCGGUACAGAGGGCUGCCAACCCGCGAGGGGGAGCCAAUCCCAGAAAACCGGUCGUAGUCCGGAUCGUAGUCUGCAACUCGACUGCGUGAAGUCGGAAUCGCUAGUAAUCGCGGAUCAGCUUGCCGCGGUGAAUACGUUCCCGGGUCU